This 66-nucleotide transfer RNA is filed under the name Chrysemys picta bellii (western painted turtle). RNAcentral's name for it is "tRNA-Lys (TTT) (tRNA-Lys-TTT-29-1)". It matches the Rfam family "tRNA". Rfam says of the family: Transfer RNA (tRNA) molecules are approximately 80 nucleotides in length. Lineage: Eukaryota; Metazoa; Chordata; Testudines; Emydidae. The record is from Rfam by way of RNAcentral.
GCUUGGCUAGCUCAGUUGGUAGAGCAUCAGACUUUUAAUCUGAGGGUUCAAGUCCCUGGUCAGGCA